UACGAAGGGUGCAAGCGUUACUCGGAAUUACUGGGCGUAAAGCGUGCGUAGGUGGUUUGUUAAGUCUGAUGUGAAAGCCCUGGGCUCAACCUGGGAAUGGCAUUGGAUACUGGCGGGCUAGAGUGCGGUAGAGGGUAGUGGAAUUCCCGGUGUAGCAGUGAAAUGCGUAGAGAUCGGGAGGAACAUCUGUGGCGAAGGCGACUACCUGGACCAGCACUGACACUGAGGCACGAAAGCGUGGGGAGCAAACAGG
This 253-nucleotide ribosomal RNA is filed under the name uncultured bacterium. Its description in RNAcentral is "partial 16S ribosomal RNA". It matches the Rfam family "Bacterial small subunit ribosomal RNA", at positions 524 to 776 of the family's 1533-position model. The record is from RNAcentral.